Molecule: ribosomal RNA, 460 nt
Filed under: uncultured bacterium
Lineage: Bacteria
Description: partial 16S ribosomal RNA
Rfam family: Bacterial small subunit ribosomal RNA
Source: RNAcentral
CCUACGGGCGGCAGCAGUGAGGAAUAUUGGUCAAUGGGCGCGAGACUGAACCAACCAAGUAGCGUGAAGGAUGACUGUACAACGGGUUGUAAACUUCUUUUAUAAGGGAAUAAAGUGAGGCACGUGUGCCUUUUUGUAUGUACUUUAUGAAUAAGGAUCGGCUAACUCCGUGCCAGCAGCCGCGGUAAUACGGAGGAUCCGAGCGUUAUCCGGAUUUAUUGGGUUUAAAGGGAGCGUAGAUGGGUUGUUAAGUCAGUUGUGAAAGUUUGCGGCUCAACCGUAAAAUUGCAAUUGAUACUGGCAGUCUUGAGUACAGGUGAGGUAUGCGGAAUGCGUGGUGUAGCGGUGAAAUGCUUAGAUAUCACGCAGAACUCCGAUUGCGAAGGCAGCUUACUAACCCGCCACUGACAUUGAUGCUCGAAAGUGUGGGUAUCAAACAGGAUUAGAUACCCUUGUAGUC